CUUUAGAGAAAGAGGAAGGGAGCGAGAGAAACGUCGAUGCGAUGUGAGAGAGAAGCAUCCAUUUGCUGCCUCUCAUAUGUGUCGGGACUGGGGACCGUAGGCAUCCAGACUGAGGGUUGUGCGUGUCCAGUCUUGGACCAGGAACAAACCUGAAACUUAGGCACGUGCCUGGGAAUCAAACCCACAACCUUCUGAUUAUGGGACAGUGCUCCAACCAACUGACUGGCCAGUGCUGUGUGAAUUUUAAAGCUGAGGCAUUAAAGCAGUGGUCCCCAGCCUUUUUGGUACCUGGGUCCGGUUUUGUGGAAGACAAUUUUUCCAUGGAUGGGCGGAUGGUUUUGGGAUGAUUCAAGUGCAUUACACUUAUGGCACACUUUAUUUCUAUUAUCAUUACAUUAUAAUAUAUAAUGAAAUAAUUAUACCAUUCACCACAUGCUAGGGUUAGCACAUGGGCUUACCAAAACUGUGACUGAGAUGAGUGUGCGGUGGGGGAAAGAGACAUGGACGGAAGUGGUGAAUACAAUAAUGGGCGGGCCACUCGAGGACUAAGAUUAAGUGUUGGAUUCUGACUUAAAGCUGCCACCAGAUGCAGCCAUACAGUUGAAGUACAUCAACUCACUGACUGGCCACUAUAAAGCCUGCCACAAGAAGCAGCUUACUUGUUACUUGCCGCUCACUGAUAGAGUUUUGAUAUGAGUCUGAAAGCAAUUGAUUUAUUAUCAUCUCUGUGCAGUCAAUCUUCUCUGCUAAUGAUAAUCUGUGUUUGUAGGUGCUCCCCAGUGCUAGCAUCACUGCCUCAGCUCCACCUCAGAUCAUCAGGCAUUAGAUUCUCAUGAGUAGCACACAACCUAGAUCCCUCACACGCACAGUUCACACUAGGGUUCACACUCCUAUGAGAAUCUAACGCUGUCACUGAUUUGAUAGGAGAUGGAGCUCAGACUGUGAAACAGGCAGUGGGGAGUGGCUGUAAGUACAGAUGAAGCUUUGCUUGCUCACCUCCUGUUGUGUUGCUGGGUUCCCAAUGGGCCACAUGGCUGGGGGGAUUGGGGACUCCUACGUUAAACUAUAUAGGCACAAUACUCAGUAUUUCAAAAGCACUAGUGUAUAUUUUUAAAUUGGAAUGCAUUUUAAAAUAUUUUAGAUUUUCUGUGAGAUUUAGAUUUUGAAUAAGAGUUUGAGAGGGAAAUUCUUUUCUUCUGUUAGCUUUAUACUUUAAAAUUUCCUGAUGGUGAACAUAUUAAAGAGACCGAUAGCAGUGAAGACUUACUCUAUAAUGUGAAAAUGCACAUCCAUGGUCUCUAGCAUUUUGAAAAAAUGUCAAGAAUUAUGCUACUUUUUACUUUUUCUUCAUACUCUGUUUCGUAUUGUGAGUUUCUAAGCAUACUGACUGUGGACUCCUGUGAGUACAGCAGACAGAGAGGGAAAUUUAAUGUUAUAGCUCAUUAAUGCAGAACUCACCUUCUAAAUUUGAUGUUAGUGUUUGCCUGAAAGGAUAUUUUCUGUACUUAUUAAUAUAAGUUGUUCUCUUCUGAAAUGGGGAAUUGUUCUUUUCACUGUUAAGUCAAUUGUUAGUAAACAUUUCUCAAAAACACUGAAGAAGGUGGAACAUUUCUAAAAACCAUGUAUAUGCUCAUUAUGAAUUUCCUAUUUUGGUUAUUGUGCUUUAUGUGGCCUUACUACUUCAUGUACCUUCUAACAAAUACAGAUGCAAUUCUGAAUCUUACUUUUAUACUAUAAAGACUUACCUUUUAUUUCUGUAUGUAUUUUUAUUUCAAGAAGUUAAUUGGUAAUACAUUAGCCUUUGUAAUCUUGCUGUAUAGUGGGUUGUUAGGAACCCAAGCUUUGAAGUCAGGUAUUUCAAUGUGAGCUCCUUACCCAAUUGGAAAGUCACUUCACCUGGCUGACCUCAGUUCCCUUCUAUGUAAAAUAAGGAUCACAAUGACAUUUACCACUAGAGUUGUUGAGAGGUUUACGAGGGAUACUGUGUGUAAAGUGGCUGACCCAUUAUCAUUGCACAUUAAUGAGCUAGAAGAUGCAUGGUGUAGGUUAAAGACUUUGGGGCUAGCAGACUGGAGAUCUGGGGUGUAGGCUGGAGAAAAUCCACAAAGGCUGGAAAGAAAGGAUGAGACUAAGGACACCAAGACUUCAGUUCUAAAUACAUAAAGUGGUGUUGCUUUUCUCUUGGGUUAUUCUUUUAUUCAUAUUGCUACAAACAAGGAAAUGGAUACAGUUUAUUUUUUCCAGAGUCACUUUUCACUUUAGCAGAAUAAAUAGGAAAAGAUUUGUGGUCAUUGGAUUCCUGGACUAGAACUUGAUGCAUCUGUCUAUUCUCUCUGAAACAGGAAGUUUAAUGACUGUUCUGAGGUUCAUGAGUUCAGAGUGAAGUUUGUCCCUGGAACCAAGUAUGUUACCUGAUCUACACUUGGCCAGGCUAGUAAAAUGUUUGGAUGAAAUGAUAUGCUUUCCUUUUUCUCUUUGACUUUUUGCAUUCUGGAUUAAUGAUGAAUGUUUGUCAGCAGGGGAUACCUCUGUCCUUGCGGCCUGUGAUGGGACAUUGUGUAGCAUUGGGAAAUGGCAGUGAGCAGGUGGUCUUAGGUUGCCAGACCAUUCUUGAGUUGAAUGGAUUUCAAGUAUCAUCCUGAGAUCAGAACCAGAAGCUGUUUGUAACCAGAAGCAUGGUGUUGGGGAUAGAGGGAUGGCCAAACAGAGAACAUGAACAAGAGUGAAAAUCCACCCUCGGUUGUACUGUCUUUCAAUCCCAGCCUUCCCGGAAGCCGACGGGGGUGGAAGUGAAAUUGGGCUUGACUCUGCCUGCAAUACUAUCAAACCCAGGAGGCCUCACUUCCUCUGUCCCACUUCCUGAAGAUGGGAAUUCAGUCACUCCCUCAUUUAUUCAUUUAGUGGUAGAAUUUAUUCAUUUAAUUAACAUUGAUUGACCACCUGCUAUGAAUCAGACCCUGUCCUAAGUACUUGGGAAUACAGCAGUGAACAAAGCAGAUGAAGACCCCUGCUCUCAUGGAACUUCAAGAAGCUGGCAAUACAUACAUAAAACAAAACAACAGUAAUAAAUAUAUUAGAAACUGAUAAGUACCAUAGAAAAAAAUAAAGCAGGGAAGGAUGAAAGAAUGUCAGUGGGUUGGGUGUGGGGGUGGGGUUGGAGGGUGGCUUGCAAUUUAGAAUAAAUUGAUCAGGGAAAUCUAGUCUUUAUACUUGAGCAAAACUUGGGGGAGUUGAGGGUGUGAGCCCUGUGGAGUCCUAGACCCAGGGAAUAGCAGGGGCUUGCAAGGAACUUGGAGCUUGUAGGAGAGUAGCCAGGCAGGGAGCCUGUGGGGAGUGCAAAAAGAGGCGAGUGGUAGAUUAGGCAGCUAAUGUGAGGGGUGGGGUAAGGAGCAGGGAAAUGGCGGUGGGGGGGUGGGGGUGGGGUUGUGAAAGGCCAUUAAAGGGACUGUGGAGUUGGAGUAAUGCUUAGUGAGGGGUGCUGCUGGGGUGUUUAGCAAAGGACGGACAUGGUGUGUGACUUAGGUUUUUAACAGGAUUGCUCUGGCUGUUGUGGAAAUAGUAUACUAAUGGGCACUAUCCCCUUCCUACCAUGUCCCCCCCAAAACAAAAGAAAGCUUGUUUUGGGUGUGCAUAUAUGUCAAAGGGACAGUCAUAUCUUGAGUGUAGUGAUACCACCUUUACCAUAAGUAAGAAUAUGUUUUAUCGCAGAAUGUACUGAGAGCUCUUAUGAGGCCCAGUACUGGAGGGAGUUUGAUCCCCUGAAAGUUGCUAGGACGUGAGGGUGUGAGGAAAGGGACAGACAGCCCAGGGGGUUCCUGUCAUCAUCAGUGACUAAGUGCUGCUUUUGACUUAAGCAGGGUGGAUGCGUUGUACAAGUUGUUCUUUCUGCAAAAGCAGAGUUUUCGUUUCCUUAAUGUAACUUAGAUCUAGAUUGCUUUGGGGAACUUGGAAAAAUCCUGCAGAAUGAUCGAGUCCUGUGGAUUUCUGACAGACGGCCUCAUUACUUUCCUCACCCGCCUUUAUUCCAUCCUCUUUUUCCUGCCCUUCUGUGAUGAUCAGGGCUGAGGGCAUUGCCCUAACAGACCAUAUAUUUCUGACCGAUGGUCAUUAAUUUUCCUUGGCUUGGCUGAAGAAACAUUCCCGUCACCUCUCUUGAAUGUAGAGUACCACCUUGGCGCGAAUGAGUUUUGACAACGGAACCUUGUUCUGCAGCCAGAGGUUGGCCUGGCUCCACUUCCUAUUAAUUUUCUUGUACAAUUAAGGCACCUAGGAAAACAUCUGAUGAAAGUUUUCAUUUUGUGGGCCAAUAAUAAAUGCCAUAAGGUGAUUUGCCAGUCUGUUGGCUUUGGUUGUGAUUUUUUGUACAAAAGCUUUACAAACAAUGAUUACUACAAAGCUCAAUUAGGAGCAUGUAAUGACUUCGUUUCUUUGAACUUUCAAAAGAUGGAAAUUGAUUUGCACAGAUAAUUGUGCUGAAGAUUUUACAUCUCAUUUUUAUAUUUGCCAGCCAUCCUCUCCAGUUUCGAUUCUUGGCAGUGCAAGUGUUUGGAGACACGUUGUAUGUUCCCCAGCACUCACGAUUUAGUGUUUGUCCCCCCACAUGCUGUAGUUGCGUGGGUCUGUGCAUGGAGCCAAAUGAGGGGACUCUUAGUCCAUCAUUUCAGUUUUAAUUAGUUGUAAAAUAUUAGCAGGAAGGCAAAGUUAUUUUACAUCGAAGUGACUUUUUUGGGAAGUAGCAAAUUAAAUUUUAUGGUAGCAGCUGUUCUGAGUGGAAUUUGUCAGAGAGUUGAUGAGAAGUGAAUGCUUACAGUACUCAGAUAUAAAUCCUUAGUUUAAAAAAGAUGCAAGCUGCGAACAAAUGAGGGUAUUGAAAUCUAGAAAAAUAUUUUUGUAAGAAUAUGUUUUCAAACCUAGGCCCUGUUGUUUCAGCCUAAGUCUUUCCAAAACAACGAUUGCUCUGAUUUUGCAGUGGGAGCCCUUGUUUAAUUUGGAAGUCAGUACGACAUGCUGAAAAAGAAACAUAGCUUAGAAGGGAGGCUCCCUAGUAACGGGAAUACUGGGUAAAGAAUUUGAGAAGGAACAGGACCUUCGCACAUGUUGCUCCUAGAGUACUCCCUGGAGUACUGCCUCCAUCACACCCAUCCUCCCACCACAUAGCUUAGCUUAGUUGAUACCUUGUCCUCCUUUAGCUCUCAACUCGCAGCAGAAUGCCUUCCCUGAUGUGGCCUGUUCUCUCUACUGUAAACUCAUAGCCACACAUAGUUCUUCAUAACACUUCAUUUAUUUUUACUGUAUUUGAACAAUUCUUUAGUCCGAGAACUUCAUUAGAUUAGAGAGGGUGUCAUUAUUACUUUUUGUUAUUAUUGUGUCAUCACUGCCUAUAAACAAGGCCUGGCAUGGUGAUAAAUAUUUGGGCUUGAUAAAUAUUUGUUCAGUGAACGCAUCCAUGAAUGGAUUGAGUUUGGGUGGCUACAGGAAAGCCACUACAAAAUUAGACCCAUGGCCUCAAAUUCAAAUGCCUGUGGGGUCAGGCAGCCAAAGUGAAUGAGUGAGCAAGACUGAUGAAGCAACCUGAGAUGUGCUGGGCAACCAGAUAGAAUGUCUCCUGAACAGGUGCCCGUGUAGAGGAUGUUCUCAUUCUUCCUUCAGUGGAAGCUAAUUCUUCUCACCAUCGUGAUAUGGGCUUGGACUGUGGUAAAUUUCAGGGACUCCCUGGGCAGAUGAGUAAAGAUGGGAAAGAAGACUGCUGGAGGCCACCAAGGGCCCAGGUGGCUUUUGAGCAGAGGCGGGAGAUCGUCUGAUUAGGAAGUGUUCUGGAAGAAAAUUUUGGCAGCACGGGAUAUCUUCAAGCAGCCGAGGAGAGUAGUACGUUAUGAGGCAGAAGCAGUUAGUCCACACCAGAGUUAAAUGAAGCGGAGCACUGGAGAAAUGUGCCAGUAGAAGCUGUAGUUUAAUAUCUAGCAGUAGUUUUGCGAAUACAAAGACAAAUCCAUCAGAAAAAUAGAUUUCUGAAAAUUACACUAUUCUUAAUCAAAGUCUUUCUAGAAUCAACAGAAGUCGUGACUUGAAGAGGAAUUCACGAGGUGAAGUCAAUGGCGGUGGGUUGAGGGUUGAGUGGGACGUGAAAAAGGAGAGCCAGUGAGCGGAGACUCUUUUUUGAGUUUUUCAAGAAAAGAAGCAAAGGGACUGAAACAGAAGCAUGGUCAGAGGAAAAUACCAGAAAGAUCCAAGGGCAGGGAGGGAUUUACUCUGCCAGUGAGGAUCUGUUCUCCUGAGAUGGUAAGAGCAGAGGAGAGGGGAAGGUGCCGGUUUCUGAGGUGGAAGUGGUGAGCGGAUGGUGAGGUCUUGCCAGGAGGCAGAAGGCAGUCCUGUGCAAGGUGAGAAGAGUGUGAGGGCUUGGGGCUCAUUUCCUGCA
Phyllostomus discolor (pale spear-nosed bat) is the source of this 6415-nucleotide long non-coding RNA. RefSeq lists it as uncharacterized. The record is from RefSeq and is a predicted model, not a curated record. The transcript has 3 exons. NCBI's taxonomy places the organism in Eukaryota, Metazoa, Chordata, Mammalia, Chiroptera, Phyllostomidae.